GCCGGGCACAGGAGUGCAUAUCUGUAAUCCCAGCAACUGGGGAGGCUGAGGCAGGAGGUUUGCAAGCUCAAGGCCGGUCUCAGUAAUUUAGUGAGGCCCUAAGCAACUUCGUGAGAACCUGUCUUAA
Molecule: small RNA, 127 nt
Filed under: Marmota monax (woodchuck)
Lineage: Eukaryota; Metazoa; Chordata; Mammalia; Rodentia; Sciuridae
Source: RNAcentral